GACGAACGCUGGCGGCGUGCUUAACACAUGCAAGUCGAACGGAAAGGCCCUGCGUGUGUGGUGUGCUCGAGUGGCGAACGGGUGAGUAACACGUGAGUAACCUGCCCUUGACUUUGGGAUAACUUCAGGAAACUGGGGCUAAUACCGGAUAGGAGCUCCUGCUGGAUGGUGGGGGUUGGAAAGUUGCGGCGGUUGGGGAUGGACUCGCGGCUUAUCAGCUUGUUGGUGGGGUAGUGGCUGACCAAGGCUUUGACCGGUAGCCGGCCUGAGAGGGUGACCGGCCACAUUGGGACUGAGAUACGGCGCAGACUGCAACGGGAGGCAGCAGUGGGGAAUCUUGCCCAAUGGGCGGAAGCCUGAUGCAGAAACGCCGCGUGCGGGAUGACGGCCUUCGGGUUGUAAACAGCUUUAGCCUGUGACGCAGCGUGAGUGACGGUAAUGGGUAAAGAAGCACCGGCUAACUACGUG
RNAcentral lists this ribosomal RNA (468 nucleotides) under uncultured bacterium. RNAcentral's name for it is "partial 16S ribosomal RNA". It matches the Rfam family "Bacterial small subunit ribosomal RNA", at positions 28 to 507 of the family's 1533-position model. The record is from RNAcentral.